This 1979-nucleotide ribosomal RNA is filed under the name human gut metagenome. Its description in RNAcentral is "bacterial LSU rRNA". It matches the Rfam family "Bacterial large subunit ribosomal RNA", at positions 3 to 1980 of the family's 2925-position model. The record is from RNAcentral.
UCAAGCUAAUAAGAGCAUAGGGAGAAUGCCUAGGCACCAAGAGCCGAAGAAGGACGUGGCAAGCUGCGAAAAGCCAUGGUAAGCUGCAAACGAGCGAAGAGCCAUGGAUAUCCGAAUGGGGAAACCCGGCGGUGGUAAAGCGCCGUCACCGUAAUAUGAAAAAGAUAGUAUUACGGAGGGAACCCGGUGAACUGAAACAUCUAAGUAGCCGGAGGAAAAGAAAGAAACAUCGAUUUCCUAAGUAGCGGCGAGCGAAAGGGAAAGAGCCCAAACCCGGCCUCUACGGAGGGAGGGGGUUGAGGACCCGCGUAAAGCGAAGCGACAUAGUAGAAGUUGGAUGGAAAGCCAAACCGAAGAGGGUGAAAGUCCCGUACACGAAAUGGAGCGGAGCAGGCGGGGAUCCAGAGUACCACAGGACACGAGGAAUCCGGUGGGAAGCAGGGGGGACCACCCCCCAAGGCUAAAUACUACUUGGUGACCGAUAGCGAAUAGUACCGUGAGGGAAAGGUGAAAAGAACCCCGGGAGGGGAGUGAAAGAGAACCUGAAACCGUAUGUCUACAAGCAGUCGGAGCGAAAGCGACGGCGUGCCUAUUGAAGAAUGAACCAACGAGUUACGUGCACUAGCGAGGUUAAGUGGAAGACACGGAGCCGAAGCGAAAGCGAGUCUUAAGAGGGCGGAUAGUUAGUGUACGUAGACCCGAAACCGCAGUGAUCUACCCAUGUCCAGGUUGAAGCGCAGGUAAAAUUGCGUGGAGGACCGAACCUGUGAGCGUUGAAAAGCUUUAGGAUGAGAUGUGGGUAGAGGUGAAAUUCCAAUCGAACGCGGAGAUAGCUGGUUCUCCCCGAAAUAGCUUUAGGGCUAGCCUCAAGUAGUAAGUAUAGGCGGUAGAGCACUGAUCGGGCUAGGGGCCAUAAAGGUUACCGAACCCUGUCAAACUCCGAAUGGUUAUACUGUAGAGCUUGGGAGUCAGACUACGAGUGAUAAGAUCCGUGGUCAAAAGGGAAACAGCCCAGACCACCAGCUAAGGUCCCCAAUGUCGUACUAAGUGGAAAAGGAUGUGGGGUCUCUAAAACAACCAGGAUGUUGGCUUAGAAGCAGCCACCAUUUAAAGAGUGCGUAAUAGCUCACUGGUCGAGAGACCCUGCGCCGAAGAUUACCGGGGCUAAAGUACGAAACCGAAGCUGUGGCUACGACGUAAGUCGUGGGGUAGGGGAGCGUUCUGUGAGGGCUGAAGUCGUUCUGUAAGGAACGGUGGACUUCACAGAAGUGAGAAUGUUGGUAUGAGUAGCGAAAAGAAUGGUGAGAAUCCAUUCCACCGAAAGCAUAAGGAUUCCUGGGCAACGAUCGUCGUCCCAGGGUAAGUCGGGACCUAAUCCGAGGCAUGGAGCGUAGGAGAUGGACAACUGGCAGAUAUUCCAGUACCGGUAAUGAUUGUUUGAGCGAUGGAGUGACACAGGAGGGCAGGCAGGCAGGAGAUUGGUUGUUCCUGUACAAGCGUGUAGGAUGGGACGUAGGCAAAUCCGCGUCCUGUGAGUCUGAGGCGUGAUGUGGAGGUUCCGGAAACGGAACUGAAGCUGCUGACCCCACACUGUCGAGAAAAGCUUCUAGUUAGAGAAUUACCGCCCGUACCGUAAACCGACACAGGUAUGCGGGGAGAGAAUCCUAAGGUGCGCGGGAGAACCCUCGUUAAGGAACUCGGCAAAAUGUACCCGUAACUUCGGGAUAAGGGUAGCCGCUGUUGUGAAGUCUGUACGGAUGGAGCAUGAGGCGGUCGCAGAGAAGAGGCCCAAGCGACUGUUUACCACAAACACAGGUGCCUGCUAAAGAGAAAUCUGACGUAUAGGUGCUGACACCUGCCCAGUGCCGGAAGGUUAAGGAAGGAUGUCCGGAGCAAUCCAAAGCAUUCGACCGAAGCCCCGGUGAACGGCGGCCGUAACUAUAACGGUCCUAAGGUAGCGAAAUUCCUUGUCGGGUAAG